Long non-coding RNA from Helianthus annuus (common sunflower), 599 nucleotides. RefSeq lists it as uncharacterized. The transcript has 5 exons. Lineage: Eukaryota; Viridiplantae; Streptophyta; Magnoliopsida; Asterales; Asteraceae. The record is from RefSeq and is a predicted model, not a curated record.
UUCUAUAAUGAGAAGGUUGAAGACAGUUUUUUUCUUCCCACGUCUCGGAGCAGUUAUGGUGCGUCCCUGUAUAUUACCUCCCAAGUCCCAACACCCCUGCUACCUCAUUUCUCCCAACCUUUUCUCUCAUUGCGUCUUUUUUAUUCUUCCCCAAGCUACAACCUAAUCAACAAUUUCCAUGUCUUUUCUAUCUCGGACGAAGACAUCAUGAUGGACUCCGAUUCUGCUUACACUAUACACUCCAGUCAAGAUUUCGCUGCCCCUCUUGUCUCCAGAAUAUUCAUGGCCGUUAAUCACGCCGCCGGGCUAAUUGAUGUCAGGGCUGUGUUAUUCAUAUAGAUUGUGAGCAGCUUUUGUUAAGCAGUGUGGAUCGAUUAUGUCUCUACUGUCUUGGUAAGGUGUUCGAUGAAGUACUUCUUUGGUUUUUGCAGUUGUGUAAGAUCUGAGGGACGAUUGUAACGAGUUGUGUGGACGGAAGGUAAGCCAACUUCUACAAGGAAUUUGUGAGCAGCAAAUCAGGUUUUGAUGUAGAAUGAUCUACCUGCACAAGUUAGUGAAGAAUGUGAUGGGCAUGUUCUUUGUCUUGAAGUGUUGUUAAG